This 480-nucleotide ribosomal RNA is filed under the name uncultured Paenibacillus sp. Its description in RNAcentral is "bacterial SSU rRNA". It matches the Rfam family "Bacterial small subunit ribosomal RNA", at positions 33 to 507 of the family's 1533-position model. Lineage: Bacteria; Bacillati; Bacillota; Bacilli; Caryophanales; Paenibacillaceae. The record is from RNAcentral.
CACGCUGGCGGCGUGCCUAAUACAUGCAAGUCGAGCGGAGCACUUCGGUGCUUAGCGGCGGACGGGUGAGUAACACGUAGGCAACCUGCCUAUAAGACUGGGAUAACUAUCGGAAACGAUAGCUAAGACCGGAUAACUGGUUUUCUCGCAUGAGAGGAUCAUGAAACACGGAGUAAUCUGUGGCUUAUAGAUGGGCCUGCGGCGCAUUAGCUAGUUGGUGAGGUAACGGCUCACCAAGGCGACGAUGCGUAGCCGACCUGAGAGGGUGAACGGCCACACUGGGACUGAGACACGGCCCAGACUCCUACGGGAGGCAGCAGUAGGGAAUCUUCCGCAAUGGACGCAAGUCUGACGGAGCAACGCCGCGUGAGUGAUGAAGGUUUUCGGAUCGUAAAGCUCUGUUGCCCUAGACGAACAGCAGCAGGAGUAACUGCCUGUUGUGUGACGGUAUAGGAGAAGAAAGCCCCGGCUAACUACGUG